RNAcentral lists this small RNA (733 nucleotides) under Pongo abelii (Sumatran orangutan). RNAcentral describes it as "processed transcript". Lineage: Eukaryota; Metazoa; Chordata; Mammalia; Primates; Hominidae. The record is from RNAcentral.
CCACUGUCAGCCCGGCUCGCUACGCCCGUCGCCUCUGCCAGUGGGUGGAGGCGCACACGGAGUGACGGGCGCCCGGCCCCACUCUCCGGUCUGGAUGAUGGGCUCACGCCAGGAACGCCGGUUCCCCCGGGCCCGGGCAUCUCGCCUGCGCUUCCUCCUGAUGGUCGCCAGAGGGCAGCAUCCCCUAACUAAUGCCGUAACCGCGCAGUCUCGUUUGACGGUGGUGCCGUGCCCAGCAUCGUGCCAAGGACUCCCCUACUUUAGCUCAUUUAAUCCUCAAAAAAUGCUAUUAUUCUCUUUUUACAGACCAUGAAAUGGAGGCUCAGGGGGUGAAGGGACUGAUCAAGAUCAUUCAGCAAUAAAUGCUGGAACCAGGACUCAACCAUGGCUUUUGGAUUCCGGAGCCUGUAUUCUUAACCACCAGCUCCUGCAGCUUGGUCCUCAUGAUCUAGGCAAGGGGGGAGGCUGAAGGCUGCAGCCCUCUUGUCGUCCAGAUGGGGAAACUGAGGCCCAGAGACUUUAAGGGGCUUAUGCACGGGAAACUCCAGCCUGGCCUCUGACCCCAGUUCAAUCCGACCAUGCCCAAGCCCAAGCGGGCCUUUCCUCCAGAACUUGCCUGGCUGUGUGACUGGGGCAAGGUGCUAAACCUCUCUGUGCCUUGCUGGUCUAAUCUGUAAAAUGAAAGAAUGGAAACAGACCUCAUUAACUCAUUAAAUAUUUGUUGAGCACCUGC